GCAAGCCUGAUGCAGCCAUGCCGCGUGUGUGAAGAAGGCCUUCGGGUUGUAAAGCACUUUCAGCGGGGAGGAAGGCGUUAAGGUUAAUAACCUUGGCGAUUGACGUUACCCGCAGAAGAAGCACCGGCUAACUCCGUGCCAGCAGCCGCGGUAAUACGGAGGGUGCAAGCGUUAAUCGGAAUUACUGGGCGUAAAGCGCACGCAGGCGGUCUGUCAAGUCGGAUGUGAAAUCCCCGGGCUUAACCUGGGAACUGCAUUCGAAACUGGCAGGCUAGAGUCUUGUAGAGGGGGGUAGAAUUCCAGGUGUAGCGGUGAAAU
This 318-nucleotide ribosomal RNA is filed under the name Klebsiella pneumoniae. RNAcentral's name for it is "bacterial SSU rRNA". It matches the Rfam family "Bacterial small subunit ribosomal RNA", at positions 377 to 687 of the family's 1533-position model. Lineage: Bacteria; Pseudomonadati; Pseudomonadota; Gammaproteobacteria; Enterobacterales; Enterobacteriaceae. The record is from RNAcentral.